This 1182-nucleotide long non-coding RNA is filed under the name Setaria viridis. RNAcentral's name for it is "long non-coding RNA (SVIR_LNC008949)". Lineage: Eukaryota; Viridiplantae; Streptophyta; Magnoliopsida; Poales; Poaceae. The record is from RNAcentral.
GGAAAAGAAGGAAAAGGAGAGGAAAGGGGAGAGGUGACAGUUCCCUUUUCUAAAGGGGAGAGGUGACAGUUCCCUUUUCUAAAGGGGAGAGGGAGGGAGAUAAAGUGAUUGAGAAAAAAAUAAAGGGGAAAGGGGAAUUGAAAGGGGAUCUAUUGGAGGAUGGUUUUUACCCCUCACCCCUUUAAUGACUGAAAAGUGGAAAGGGGAAACGGAGAAGGGAACAUGUUGAAGUUACUCUAAGGAUGAAAAUAUUAGGGAGGCACCUAAUAUAUGUUAAUGGAGUAAACACUAACACAUAAAGAUAUUUUUUCUUAUUCCCUAAGAUUUUUUAAUAAAAAGAUAAGAUCAUGAGGAGCCUUAUGGUCCUGGUAAAUUUAGUUUUGUUCUAAGAGAAUUUUUUUUAAAUUUUAAUCAAAUUUAUCAAAAGAAGUAUUAUCUCAGUUCAGAGAUCACAUAUACUAGAAUUUCUAUGAUAAAUUAAGAAGGAAGGAAAAAGACUUUCACACACCCCUCAUUCAAGCCCCACGCCUAGCUUUUGAAUCGACACCAUUUGUGUUUGCUCCAUUUGGCAAUAUUUUAACCAAAAAGUCCAUGUCAACUUGCUCCAUAAUCAACAAAGUCCAUGUCAACUUGCAGAUAUUUAUCCUUGUGGUACGUAAGUGAAGCCCUCUGGAAAUAGAAGAAUACACAUAAAUUAGAUGUCUAAUUUACGAAAAUAACCAAGUUCUCAGGUAAGUGGAAAAAUUAGCAAGAUCAAGUAUAUGAAAUUGUAGAUUUAAAAGACAAGUAACCAUCAUGUCACGAACAAUCUCAUGGAAUUCAUUAUUUUCUUUGUAUAUAUAAUGAAGCAUUACAAAUUUCCUAUCCUUUAUGUCUACUACAUAUACGAACCAAUGGUCUUGAAAACAGGUCGGGAAGAAUAACUACACCAGAAAUAAAAUGAAUUAUAUUAUGAGAAAUAAUAAAAUGUAACACUCAAAGUGAAAGAAAGAUGACAAAGGAAGAAAAUAACCAUGUUAGAAUGAUGAAGGGGCCGAGCCUUGCUAGACCGCCUAAAAGCACGAGCCAAUACACCCUUCAUCAAAAUCCUAUGCUUUAUCAAAAUCUUUCAAUAGAUUUUCAUGAAAACAACAAAAAAAACUUGAUAAUGUGAUUCACUGAUUAUAAAUUAAUACUCAAAAA